GGUGUACGUAGGAGUGUAGUGAGAAACACAAAUUAAAGUGAAGUACAGAUUGGACAUAAUUUUAAAGAAGAGCUCAAAGGUACAUUCCUUAACUCAUUACAGAUAAAUUUACCAAAAAUAUUAAAUAAGCUAGUAUAAUGGGCUGUAAAAUGAACAUCAAAAAUAUGAAAAAGAAGAUGUUGUAUAAUUGCCAAUGAGACAACUCUCCACAAGAGACCAAGUGACACAGAAAUUAACA
Molecule: long non-coding RNA, 238 nt
Filed under: Mytilus galloprovincialis (Mediterranean mussel)
Lineage: Eukaryota; Metazoa; Mollusca; Bivalvia; Mytilida; Mytilidae
Source: RNAcentral